AAUAUUUACUAGGGGAGCCCUUUAUGGCUGAGACGUUAAUUAACGGACCCUUUGAACCUGUUUAGUUAGUACUAACGAAGGAAAGUAAUGGUCAAUGCGA
RNAcentral lists this non-coding RNA (100 nucleotides) under Weissella paramesenteroides. RNAcentral describes it as "TPP sequence". It matches the Rfam family "TPP riboswitch aptamer (THI element)". Rfam says of the family: Vitamin B(1) in its active form thiamin pyrophosphate (TPP) is an essential coenzyme that is synthesised by coupling of pyrimidine and thiazole moieties in bacteria. The previously detected thiamin-regulatory element, thi box was extended, resulting in a new, highly conserved RNA secondary structure, the THI element, which is widely distributed in eubacteria and also occurs in some archaea. RNAcentral also lists the same sequence under 1 other name. The record is from RNAcentral. Lineage: Bacteria; Bacillati; Bacillota; Bacilli; Lactobacillales; Lactobacillaceae.